RNAcentral lists this ribosomal RNA (207 nucleotides) under uncultured bacterium. RNAcentral describes it as "partial 16S ribosomal RNA". It matches the Rfam family "Bacterial small subunit ribosomal RNA", at positions 568 to 774 of the family's 1533-position model. The record is from RNAcentral.
CGCGUAGGCGGUUUGUUAAGUCGGACGUGAAAGCCCCGGGCUCAACCUGGGAAUUGCACCCGAUACUGGCCGACUGGAGUGCGAGAGAGGGAGGUAGAAUUCCACGUGUAGCGGUGAAAUGCGUAGAUAUGUGGAGGAAUACCGGUGGCGAAGGCGGCCUCCUGGCUCGACACUGACGCUGAGGUGCGAAAGCGUGGGGAGCAAACA